UAGAUUGAAGCCAGUUGGAUAGGGUUUUUAGCUGUUAACUAAAAUUUCGUGGGAUCAAAGCCCACCAAUCUAG
Molecule: transfer RNA, 73 nt
Filed under: Cynopterus brachyotis (lesser short-nosed fruit bat)
Lineage: Eukaryota; Metazoa; Chordata; Mammalia; Chiroptera; Pteropodidae
Description: tRNA-Asn
Source: RNAcentral